UAGAAAAUGUGCUCUUUUAGUAUUUCUCCAGCUGGUUUCCUGAAAAAGAAAGCCUCC
Molecule: small nuclear RNA, 57 nt
Organism: Oncorhynchus kisutch (coho salmon)
Lineage: Eukaryota; Metazoa; Chordata; Actinopteri; Salmoniformes; Salmonidae
Gene: U7
Rfam family: U7 small nuclear RNA
About the family: Animal histone pre-mRNAs are spliced by a different mechanism than nuclear pre-mRNAs and self-splicing introns. This processing involves the U7 snRNP, which contains only one RNA species: U7.
Source: Ensembl